This 1453-nucleotide long non-coding RNA is filed under the name Monodelphis domestica (gray short-tailed opossum). RNAcentral describes it as "lncRNA (ENSMODG00000034262.2)". The record is from RNAcentral. Lineage: Eukaryota; Metazoa; Chordata; Mammalia; Didelphimorphia; Didelphidae.
AUGUGUCUGGGGAAGCACCAAAGAUUCUUUUCCAUCUGGCAAAGACCCGAGACCUCCCUGAAGACUCCUCCUGAGCAUCUCCAGCAGGGCGGCGGAGGCGGCAGUGGGAGGAGGCUGCAAAGCGACUUGCACUGUCGGGCUAGCCCAGAACAAGGCUGGCCUUUGUCUACUAACAAGGUAGACCCUCUCUUGCCUUUGCAGAGGCCAAUCACACUCCCGGAUCUCUGCCAAGAAAACCCUAAAGGAUGUCAUAAAAAGUCAGACGCAACCAAACAACAACUUCUUAAGCUACCACUGGCAGAGAACAAAGUCAGAGCACUCUAUCCUUUGGGAUUUUACAAUAUUCAAAUAUGGAACUUUGAAACCACCUUCUAUAAUCACAGCCUCUGGAAGCCAGGAAAGAAAGGCCAGCUACUCACUCACCCAAGACAGACUCCAAAGGAAAAGAUCCAGGAACAGUCCUCCCAGAAGCAGUCCAAGAACUAAAGUCUCAGUCCAAGUCAACUCACCAGGAGAAGAUCCAAGCCAAAGAUCAAAGAACAGUCCCAAAAGCCAACGUCACCUCCAAGAGGCAAGUCACUAGCCCAAACUCCAAGCUGAAGAUUCAAGCUGAAGACCCCUUGGUCAGGAAGUUCAGGACUUUUUAUGGACCUUUUUCCAUGUCACUUCCUGUCCCUUCCUUCACCUUACGUGAACCAAUUGCAGUCUUCAGAUUUGCUUAGCACUGCCCAGGGGCAGGGCAGUCAAGUCUGGGGUUGUCACCUCGGAGGGUGUAAACUCUUAUCCAAGGAUUCACAAGUUUCUGACUGAUUGGGUGGAGCACUCCAAGUAAGUGGUGAACUCCCUUACUUGGUGUUAAGUUUUUGGUUGAUUAAUUCAAAAUAGACAAAAAGAAUACAGAAUUUCUUUUCACAAGUGCCUAAUAAGUGCAAAGCACUGUUUAAGAUGCUAAAGUCAGCUGUUUCUGUGUUGCUGAAUUAUUGCAAUUGCUGAUAGUAUAUUUAGGCAAUGCCCUGCUAGAUUCUCCCAACUUAGAUUUCUAAAGGUGUCCACAGAAAGGCAUGGCCCAACCUUUCACUUGAAGUUUUACUUCAUCUGAUCUUCCUGGCAAGUGCCAGGAGGCAACUAGUGAAAUGCCCGAGUGCCCAUUGUAAAUGAGGAAAUUCAUCCCUUCUGCAGGCUUCUACCAAUCACUGGGCUGCACUUUUCCCAGAAGCAAGCUGGUCACUUGUUAUUGAACUUCCUAAAAACUUGUUGCCCCUUUCUUCAACAUAUAUCAAAGAAGUCUACCUUCUGCCUCCUCAAAAAAAUCAGCCUCUAUUCCUUGACCCCUAAAUGCCCUUAUCACAUCCUCAUCAGCCCCCCUAACUUCUCAGACUUUGAUGCUCUCAUGGGAUGCUUUUCCUUGAAAGACUUGCUGGUCCAUGGGCCAAUAAAAUAUUCAGAGGUGCCA